AGAAAUCCCAGCCCAUUUCUCCCUUAAACCCUACUCAAAUUGGUCUCUUCCCAAAAGGAAACCCAGCUGGAGAAAACGGUAUGCUGCCAGAAAACCCCAACUUUGUUCCUUAUCAUCGUGAUCCUAGACACGCACCUUCAGUGCGUGAACUAAAACCGAAGUGACUCUCAGCUUUAAAACGACCGGCAAAAAUUUCAAGCGCCUCCUUUGUCGCUCGUCUUCUUCAUGAAGCAAGAGAGCGCGUGCUUGGUGUAUCAGUUCUGUUUCUUUGUCGCCUUCCUCACUAUGAUAGUAUGAUUCUAGGCAGGUUUUCCAGCUGCGCGAAUCGUCCUGCUUGCACGAGAUGACUCCACGUCGAGGGGCAAGGACAAACAAAUCGAUCGAGGCCGUCGAUUCUCCUUUUCGCUUCCGGAAUGGAGUAAAAGUUCUUUCAGAAAAGGUUCUAUCCAAAGGGGAGAAAGUCUCUAUUUUUUUUGAAUUUGGGGUUUGAAUUCCGAUUUCGCCCUUUUGUUUCCCCCCAUUUUCGAAAUUGUUGCCCUAAUUUCCGCUAUAUAUAUUCUCUUCAUCCCAGCUGUAGAGGGGUAUUGAUUUUUUUUCGACUUUAAGGCAGAGAGCAGGGGAGACCGAAAGAAAAAAGGUUCGCGUUGAGAAUUUCCUUUCGAGUCUAAAAAUCUGAGAGUCACCUUAAAAAAGACACUGUCUAAAAAAUAUAGUAAGCCCUUUGAGAAAAGGGUGUCUUAGUUUUUGUCUAAAUAUCACUCCUUCGCUCCAUUUGGAUCGGUCUACUCGAGUUUCGCUUAAGGUUCAAGUUAGUGGCAGAAAUUGGUCAUCCAUCUAGCUCGUCGUUGCCCCGGCUGCUGCUCAAGAAGAGGUAAAAACUUCCCUAACCUUUUUCCUUCUAUAUGUUUUCCAAUGAGCUAUUGAAAAAUGUGAAAAUUUGUUGUUGGUUACGAGCUAAUUUUACAUGAUAAGUUUUUGAUCCUAAGUUCGCUUUUCAUCAUAAUUUUUCUGAAACUAGCAUAUAUAUUUCUGUCUUCCCAGAUGAUUUUUUCCUGUUUAAGUUUGAUCCCCCCUGCUAUGGAUCUUCUUAAGUUUUCUCGUCUGAUUAUGUUCGUUUCAUCUCUGUUUUUUAACUAUAUUUUUUAGUUGCAUAAACUUUAUUUUAUUGUCGUUUGUCUAAAGUCGCAUUCGUGCCUUCAUUAUGUAUUUGGAAAGCGUCGGAGUGCCUUUGGACACUAUGAAUUUAGUUUUUUCGAGUAUGAGUUAAUUUUGUCGAAGUGGUGUCCUCUGAGAGUAUGUUCAUGAAUCUGUUUUCCGUACCCUUCUUCCAGGGAAAAUCUGUCCACUUCCGAAUAUCACUUAGUUUGGUUUUAAAAUGGUUAUUUUAAAAAUCUAAGAUCUCAAUUUAAGUUUGUUGUGUUAUCAUGUGAUGCAGCCUCUCCACCGUAACAACUUCUUCAUCUCUUCUAUUCUGAAUCGAUGUUAGUAAAGUGAUAAAAUCUCUGUAUUGGUUUGAAUGGUACAAGAUUGAAUCUUGGCGACUUCACUUGUUAUUAAUCUAUUCUUAAUGGAUAUCUCGAUCUAGUUUCAACAUCAUGUCGAAUGAUUAUCAUGCGGAGUUUGUCGUUUGUUCAUUUCAAUAUUCAAGCUUACUUAUUUUGUUAUGGUUUAUUCCGAAUAUAAACUUCAACGUUGCAGGCGUGUUCUUUUGAUUUUAUUCUAAUCAAGUCCAGUUCUAACUGUUAUUGUAAUUUAAGUUCCCUUUAUUUUGCUUAGAUUAUAUUCAGUGUAAAAAAAAUACCUUUUUUUAGUUUCGGCUCAUGUAGAGUUUGAUAUAUUAUUUUUUAUUUAAAAAUUGACUGUCUCUUGUCUCUUGACCCUCAUGGAUCGUAACUACAUAUUGUUUGGUUUCAAACUAUUUUGUUGGUUUUAACUUAUCCUAGCUUAUUUUAAGGUUAGAAGUUGUAAUCUAGCCAUUCUGAUGAUUUCUUUGCUGCCAAAUAUGUCGUAGUCGUGAUUGAUCUAGUUGGAUAAAAUGUGGGUUUGUCCCUCGUAAUUUCAAAGUUCACCAAUUUUGAAAUAUCAUUUUGUUUUGGAUUAGAUAAUACUCCGUUUAUUGUUUUGGUUUUGUUGGAAUUUGGAAGAUUUUUGGGUGCCAUUUGUCCCUCGUAACUGGAUUCUCGCAUUUCCCUUUGGGCCGUGGAGGCCUAAAUUUUUUUUCUCUCCAGUCAAGCCCUUUAAAAAAGACGAACAGGUCUCAGAGUAAAAAACGGAGUGGAUCGAAGAUCUAAAAGAAGAAUUGAGCCAAAAGGCCCAUUUUCCUUUUUGUAGAAAACUCCAAAAGCCAAAAGGCCCUCUCUCUUGUCUUAAUACUUAUCUUUUUUAUUUGUCGUUAGUUUAAAGUUAGAAAACUCCAAAUCCCCUUCGAAUGCCAUAACAUUUUAGUAACAUAAAAUUAAACUAAGUUCAAAUAGUUUUAAAAAAUAUUUUUUUUCAACUAAUAAGUGUCGCUUAGAUAAAAAACUAAGAAACUUACUUUCAAACAAUUUCUAAUACAUUUUAUAAGUUAGUUAUUUUAGCCAAAUGAGUUAGUUGUCGGAUAACCGCAAGUUAGCGGAUGUCUUAGGUGCAUUCAAAACUUUCCUAAGACGUUCAUAGGAAUCUCCGAACCCCCCUUUAAAGUUUCAAAACGAUUUUUCUGUUUAAAUCUUUUGGAAACAAAUAGUUUUCUUGAUUUUUCCUAAAAAUUAAGUGGCAAUUCUAAAAAGUCGGAAAAUUUACAAAAUAUUAUUUUUUCGAAAACUUCCGUAUAAAACAGAAAUGGUGACUCAGCUGGGGAUGUUUGAGGAUUCUAACCUUAAAACUAACGUGUUUUAGCUACGUGAAGUUAAUUGUUUAUCUGUUUAUUUAUCGUCUUAUUCAACUGUUGCAUGCAUGGCAUAUCAUAACUCCGUCAAAUGACAAUUAUUUUUAUUUACCACUUAUAGGACGAUCAUGCGCAUUCGCGGUCGUUCGUUAACCAAAUCAUUCUUAGGGCACCCUGAAGAAUGUAGUUGGCUACUUGAAAGUCACCGGUCGUUAACUGUCCCUGCCCAUGUAGUCCGCUUGGGUUACCUUUUCCACUAUAAAUAUAAUCCACUCCUAGUUAAAUUAAGAUAGAGCGAAACCCAAUCCCAAAAAAUUGCGCAUUGGCCUAAGACGACCCAACACCUAAGGAGCAUUGGGCCCAUUAGAAAGACCGCCUUGAGUCCAAAGAGAGCACGGCUCGAUAGGAUGAUCAUAUUUGCGUGUUAAAUUUGAAGGAUGUAUUGCAUUUUUAAAUGUUUGUUGUAUCGUGGGGGUUAGCAAUUAACUAGUUGUACGUUUUUGUAUAUGUCGAGUCAGUUCCUCCAUUUCAACAUGGUCACCAAGACGCCAGACAUUCUCCGCUUAUGGUGGGACAACCUCAAAGAUUAUCAAAAGAGAGAAAUCUCGGUUCACCUGGGUCACUCUUCAAUAAUGGACAUCAAGGUUUGGCCCAUGUUUAUUGAGGUUAUCACUCGGUUCUGGGGAGAUAAGAAGAUGGUUUUUUGAUUUGGAGAUGUCGAAAUAACACCAAUACUAGAGGAAAUUAAGGUUUGUCUGGACUCUAUCGGGACAUGUGGCAAGCGGAAAAAAUGUCCCGAUCAUCACAUCCUUCUGCCAGAUAGGCCAACUAGUGAAUAAUCAAAGAACAUAUUGUUGCUAGUAAAUGCAAACUGGUUGGAAACCCACGAUAUACCACCAAUGAGAUUUUUCGAGAAAUGGGAGCACCUAUUUCAGAUUAUUUCCGAAUGAAUUCCACAAUCACAGUAUCUGGAGGAAAACUCAGACUAUCGCUUUUUCAGCAUGCCUUUUAGGAACUAUGGUUUUCCCUAAAGAUGAAGGAAAGAAAAUCGACACCCGGGUCGUGAUGGUAGUAGACGCCAUGUUAAGAGGAAUUGGUAGAAAACAAGAAGAAAAAAAGUACUGUAGUUCGGCCCUGGUCAUCUUAGCCGACAUUUAUCGAUCUUUAAGUUUGUGUAAGAAUGGGUUUCCAUUUUUUCAAGGUUGAAACAUUCUACUUCAAUGGUGGAUGAUUGAGCAUCUCCGCAAAAGGGAUGGUGCCCAACCGCAGGAGUUGGCCAAACCAAGCCAGACGAGUCCUCUUGAUAAUUAUGAAUUCUAUCUAAGCGUCUGCAGAUUCCCUAUUCAUACCACUAGGGAUGCGUGGGCGAGGGUAUUUUAUGAUAUGAGAGAAGGAGAUAUACAGUGGAUGUUACCAAACUUCAAGUCCGGGAGGAUAGCAGUACAGGGGGCCAAACAUCCAUUUUUAGUCGUUCCUGGCAUAAGAGGAUUGCGGCCCUACAACCCAACAAGAGUGAUACGACAAUUUGAUAGAACACAAAUCACACCCGUCCAAGGGGAUGCUAGCUCUUUUGUUGUCGAUUACAGUAGGAGCGGCAAAACAGCUUUUGGUAAGAUCAUCCUCCAAGAAUGGGCCGUACGUAUCAACAUGAAAUGGGAUAUGGAUGAAAACAGAUAUGAAGCUAGGUAUGUCGACGAAUACAAGACAUGGUGCAGAAUGAUCUGCAUGGUGUAAUGAACCCAACACCAUGCACAGGUUGAGAAAUUAAAGACAUACAAACAAGGCUUCAGAUCCAUGCAUACCAUUUUCAGCAAGAAUGGGACCGAAGGGAGCAAGAAUUUCAGCAAAGGGAGAAAGAAUUUUAGAAAAAAGAGCAAGAAUUUCAGCAAAGGGAGCAAGAUUACCCGUUCCGAGAGUUAGAAAGUCAGAGGGUUUUAGCUGUGACGUCACAAGAGCUAGCCGAUACAAGGGCUUUUAUGAUGUGUUUGGACGCAAACCUGGAUGAGCAAAUGAACACUCUACAAGUCGUACGAACAUCUUACAAAGUUGUGUUCACUGAGCCGUACGUGUUCACAAGCAAGUGCAUCAUCCGCGAAGAAGUAGAGAAGGCCAAAAGAGGAGUUGAGCCAUCAACCUUUUAACUCCCUUGCGUGGGAUUGUUUUUUAUCUGUAUUCGCAUUAUAUCCCCCUCCCUGAAAUUGUACCCCGUUUGAUUGAAAUUAUGUAAUGAACGCUAUGAUUUUUAGUGAAGUUUAUUUUUGGGAUACAACAAUUUGUUUAAAUGACGCAAUACAUCCUUCAGAUCGCUAGGCAUACCCUUGGCACAAAGGGUCACAUGCAUGAUUAGGACGCAAUAUGUGUGUGUUUAACUGCGUAUGUGUUAUGUUGCUAUGAAUGAGGAUAUCGCAAACCCACUCCUAUCCAGAAAUUUCCAGAAGAAAUAUACCGAAGUCACUAUCGCAAAUGUCCGACCAAAACUUUCUGAAUGCCACAAGAAGUCACUCAUCGCGGGAAGAUAUUCAUGCCCCGCAGAAAAUCAUGCACUGCCAGAGAAUGAAUCAUGCAUCUCAAGGGAAACAUUUACUCCUCAAUAUCAACUGCAUCUUUGUUUGGAAAGAGUGAAUGCCAAGAGAAUCAUCGAAAACAACGAAGAGAAAUGUCAACACUGCAUCAGCAUUUUACUUAUUUCGACAUCAAACGAAGAGUUCAUCGAAGAUUAUAUUGCAAACAUAAGACAUAAGCUUUAUUUGCCUUACAUCAAACCGAUCGAGUUGACGUGAAAUGAAGAAGGAGAACAACUAAGUGUCGACACUGUCAAAGACACUAUCUCCCAUUUAAAUUGCAUUUUUAUGCUGACGAGUUUUAUCUCAGUCCUUGUCGAGAGAAUCCGAAAGGAUGAAUUCUCCAAAACAUAACCACAGGUGCGGACGACAUCAAAAAGGAUGCAUCACAACGUGGAACUUUUUCUUGGAAGCAAACUGGGACACAGUCCAAAGAGGAAUGUCAACUGUUAGGAUGCGAGCAGAGGAGAGACUUCCACCACAAUCAAACCACACCCCUAUCAGAAGGCAUGUGGGUUUUCCCUUUUUCUUUGUCAGUUUUGGUUUCGCAUCCGAAAAUUUUGGUGUCCGUCGAAAGCAAGUUGUCAAUUUGAGUGACAAUGCACCAAGAGCUUUAAAAAUUAUGUCCAUGUAAAUUCUUAUAUAUGGAUGUGAAGAGCUCCACAUUCUUGGCUAAGAGGUUGCACACGUCUUUUUCAUACUCGACUUAAUUUGUCACUUGUCCAGAACCAAAGGUUAUCUAGCAUAAUAGAUUUUCUUUUCAACCGAUCGAGUCGAACUACAAUCAGCCUGAUUCCUGAAGAUACAAGGAUUUGUAGGUGAGCUCAAUGUCGAAAAUUUGGCUGUAUUCCAACAUUUGAUCUCAAAUCUUACUCCCAAAUAUUUCGGACCCUUCAUAAUCUGGUGUCGAGACAACUUUUGAAUUCUUUAGAAAUCGUGCAUAAAACCAAGCGUAUCGAACUACAAGUGGUCUGAAUUCUAAUAUAGCUUGAGAUAUGUAGGAAAACCAUUUUCGGGGUUCGGCCAUAACUCCCAAAGUCCGUACCAAAAUCCCUCUCCUAAAGAUAAAUAUGUGGUCGAUCAAAAUUGGCUUAGUCAAUUUCAUUUUUCUCAAAUUUAUUGCAUCAAUCCAAGUCAAAUGAGGGACAGUUGUUGACACCCAAUUUUGACCAUCCUGGAUAUAAAUUAAAAAAAGCUCCCAACAAAGUGAAAUAAUCGACUCUAUAAAAUUUAAAAAAUAUUUGUUAUCAGCUUUAGUAUAUUGUUUAAUGUAUGAAUAAUAUACACUUUUAUAUGUUUUGCAUAAUUUGUUUAUUUUAUAGAAUAUUCGAAAAUUUGUCUCAAAAGUUUAGUCUUUACUUAACGCCUUAUUGAUUUUGUCCGAUUAGUAUCUUGUAGUUUUGAGUCUUAAAGUGUAAUUAGGAUAUUCAUUUUAUCUUGUCGAAGUUAAAAAGCUCGUCAAUUAAUAUCAGUUCAUCUUAUUUAAUUUGGCCGAGUUUGUUUACUAAUUGAUCUCAUUUUGGUUAUAGUUUAAUUGCGUUUGGCCAUGAUUUUCAUCUAAUGGUCGAGUUAUCAAUUAAAAUAUAGCUUCUCCUAAUUUUUUUCUCCAACCUCUUUGAGAACCAAAAUUUGGGUCGUUUAAUCCAAAUUCAUUAAAUUUAAGCCCAUUUAUUCAAUGUUUCAGCAGGUUUUUUUCCUCCUCUUAAUCCCAGCCCACCAUCAUUUCCUUUUUAUUCAGCAGCCCAAUACUUAUUCCAAACCCAUUUUAUCUUCUCUUAAAAUCCCAGCCCAUUUCUCCCUUAAACCCGACCCAAAUUGGUGUCUUCCCCAAAGGAAACCCAGUUGGAGACAACGGUAUGUUCCCAGAAGACCCCAACUUUAUUCCUUCUCAUCGCGAUCCUAGACAUGCACCAUCAGUGCGUGAAGAACAACCGAAGUGACUCUCACCAUUAAAGCGAAAAGCAGAAAUCUCAAGCGCUUCCUUUCUCGCUCAUCUUCUUCAUGAUGCAAGAGAGCGCGUGCCUUAUGUAUCAGUUCUGUUUCUUCUUCUCCUUCCUCUCUGCGAUAGUAUGAUUAUAGGCAGGUUUUUCAGCUGCGCAAAUCAUCCUGCUCGCACGAGAUGACUCCACAUCGAGGGGCAAGGACAAACAAAUCAAUCGAGGCCGUCGAUUCUCCUUUCCACUUUCGGAAUGGAGUAAAAGUUCUUUCAGAAAAGGUUCCAUCCAAAGGGGAGAAAGUCUUUUUUUUUUUAAUUUGGGGUUUGAAUUACGAUUUCUCCCUUUUGUUCCCCCCCUAUUUUCGAAACUUUUGCCCUAAUUUCCGGUAUAUAUAUUCUCUUCAUCCCAGCUGUAGAGGGGGAUUGAAUUUUUUUUUGACUUUAAGGCAGAGAGAAGGGGAGAUCGAAAGAAAAAAAAAAGCUUGCGUUGAGAAUUUCCUUUCGAUUCUAAAAAUCUAAGAGUCACCUUAAGAAAGACACUGCUUAAAAAAAUAUUGUAAGCCUUUUGAGAAAAGGGUGUCUUAGUUUUGGUCUAGAUAUCACUCCUCCGCUCCAUUUGGAUCGGUCUACUCGAGUUUCGCUUAAGGUUCAAGUUGAUGGCAGAAGCUGGUCAUCCAUCUUGCUCGUUGUUGCCCAAGCUGCUGCUCAAGAAAAGGUAAAAACUUCCCUUACCUUUUGCCUUCUAUCUGUUUUCCAAUGAAUGAUUGAAUAAUGUGAAAAUUUGUUGUUGGUUACGUGUUGAGUUUACAUGAUAAGUUUUUGAUCCCAAGUUCGCUUUUCAUCGUAAUUCUUCUGAAACUAGCAUAUGUAUUUCUGUCUUCCCAGCUGAUUUUUUCCUGUUUAAGUUUGAUCCCCCCUGCCAUGGAUCUUCUUAAAUUUUCUCGUCUGAUUAUGUUCGUUUCAGCUCUAUUUUUAACUAUAUUUUUAGUUGCAUAAACUUUAUUUUAUUGCCGUUUGUCUAAAGUCGCAUUCAUGCCUUCAUUAUGUAUUUGGAAAGUGUCGGAGCGCCUUAGGACACUUUGCAUUUAGGUUUUUCGAGUAUGAGUUAAUUUUGUUGAAGUGGUGUCCUCUGGGAGUAUGUUCAUGAAUCUGUUUUCCGUAACAUUCUUCUGAGGAAAAUCUGUCCGCUUCCGGAUAUCACUUAGUUUGGUCUUUGACAUGGUUAUUUUAAAAAUCUAAGAUCUCAAUUUAAGUUUGUUGUGUUAUCAUGUGAUGCAACCUCUCCACCGUAACAACUUCUUCAUCUCUUCUAUUCCGAAUAGAUGUUAGUAACGUGAUAAAAUCUCUGUUUUGGUUUGAAUGGUAUGGGAUUGAAUCUUGGCGACUUCACUUGUUAUUAAUCUAUUCUUAAUGGAUAUAUCGAUCUAGUUUCAACAUCGUGUCGAAUGAUUAUCAUGCGGAGUUUGUCAUUUGUUCGUUUGUAUAUUCAAGCUUACUUGUUUUGCUAUGCUUUAUUCCGAAUAUAAACUUCAACGUUGCAGGCGUGUUCUUUUGAUUUUAUUCUAAUCAAGUCGAGUUCUAACCGUGAUUGUAAUUUAAGUUCCCUUGUUUUAUGCUUAGAUUAUAUUCAGUGUAAAAAAAUAUUUUUUUUAGUUUCGGCUCAUGUAGAGUUUGAUUUAUUUUUUUAAUUUAAAAAUUGACUGUUUCUUGUCUCUUGACCUCAUGGCUCGUAACUGCAUAUUGUUUCGUUACGAACUAUUUUGUUGGUUUAAACUUAUCCUAGCUUAUUUUAAGGUUAGAAGUUGUAAUUUGGUCAUUCUUAUGGUUUCUUUGCUGCCAAAUGUGUCGUAGUCGUGAUUUAUCUAGUUGGAUAAAAUGUGGCUUUGUCCCUCAUAAUUUCAAAGUUCACCAAUUUUGUCAUAUCACCUCUCGUGCAUUGAAAUUUUCCAGCAUGCCGCAGUUUUCUUUUUGCAUAUCAUUUUGUUUUGGAUUAGAUAAUACUCCGUUGAUUGUUUUGGUUUUUUUGGAAUUUGGAAGAUUGUUGGGACCCAUUUGGUUUAUAUUGCAAAUUGGUUGUAAUACUUAUUAUACAGUAUAUUAAUUAAAUCAUUUUGCUUAGAUCACUAUGAUUUCAUCUAUAUGUUGAACUUGUUUGGAGUAGCUGCCUAAGUGCAAACUCCAUCUGUUAGUAUGCUUCGAGGCCUUCUAUUUUUUUAUCGUAAAUUCGCCCCCUAUUUACAACAUGAUUUUAAAUAGCCACUGUCCCAUUUUUGUUGUAUUUCUUGAUUUUAACCUGCUUGCUUCACCUAUUGGAAGGUUGCUGAAGUUAUGUUCCAUCUGGUGCACCCUUUGGUAUCUCUUAAAAUUAUUAUUUUGAGAUAUUAUUGUUUGAAUACUAAUCCUUAUUUUCUCGUUGCAUGUGAAAUUGAUUCGGGUCCUAAUGGACUGCAUUCUCGCAUUUUCCUUUGGGCCGUGGAGGCCUAAAUUUCUUUUCUCUCGAGUCAAGCCCUUUAAAACAGACGAACAGGUCUCAGAGUCAAAAAUGGAGUGGACCGAAGAUCUAGAAGAAGAAUUGAGCCAAAAGGCCCAUUUUCCUUUUUGUAGUUUUAUUUUAGUAUUUUUUGGGCCUAAGCCCUUAUAUUGUUGUAUUAAUAUUUUACUAGUUUAGGACAGGUACAGGUGAAGUGGGCCAAAGGCCCAAAACAAACGGGUCAAAAAAUCCGAAAGCAGGUGGGUCCAAAAAUCGGUCCAGGCGGACAGAACCCGGGUUUGGGCCCAAAAUAUCUCUCUGUCUGUCUUAUUACUUAUCUAUUUUUAUUUGUCAUUAGUUUAAAGUUAGAAAACUCCAAAUCCCCGUCGAAUGCCAUAACGUUUUAGUAACAUAAAAUUAAACUAAGUUCAAAUAGUUUUAAAAAGUAUUUUUCAGUUUAUAAGUGUCGCUUAGCUAAAAAACUAAGAAACUUACUUUCAAACAAUUUCCAAUAAAUUUUAUAAGUUAGUUAUUUUAGCCAAAUGAGUUAGUUGUUGGAUAAUCGCAAUUUAGCGAACGUCUUAGGUGCUUUCAAAACCUUCCUAAGACGUUCAUAGAUAUCCCUAAACCCCUUUAAAGUUUUCAAAAUGAUUUUUCUAUUUCAGUCUUUUGAAGAAAAAAAAUAGUUUUCUUGAUUUUUCCUAAAAAUUAAGUGGCAAUUCUAAAAAGUUGGAAAAUUUACAAAAUAUUAUUUUCCAAAAACUUUCGUACAAAACAUGUAGUUUAGAGAGUCUAAAAGUACGAUAACUACACCCCAAGGACCACAGGAAGGGUCCUUGAGAAGGACCCCAACAUGGGUGGGUAGGCUGCUAAAGCAGUCUGCGAAAGUCAAGAAUCGGUGGGCUACUGUGCGACGCGCAGCCAACACGGACCCACGGCCUCAAAUUAUUUUUGGGAAAUAAAAUGUGUGUUGGCCCUGCGACGCGGAGACACUUCCCAGAUAUCGUAAAAGUCGUAUUUUGGGUGUUUUGACUUCACAAAUAAACUCAUUUAAGUAAGGAGUCUUUUGGGUAAUUUAAUGGGUGACUAUAUAAUAUAUUAGGGUCAGUUUUAGGUCAAUUUUAUCACUCAAAUCAAGAUCGACAAGUUGAAAUAAAAAAUCUCUCUCUCUCUCCCAAAAUUCUCUCUUCCUCCAAACCUCCAUUGAAUACCAUUAGAGCUCCAAGAAGAAGAUCAAGCCUUCAAGUAUUUCAACCCAAUUUCGUGGCUUUAUCAUCUAUAAGGUUCGGGCCAUUGAGGUAUCAUUGAGGCUAAAGCAAGAAGGCUUGGACUAGACUCUCCAAGUUUUGGUAUGCCCUCUGGUUCGAGGAUGUUACCACACACUCUAUCAUAGUAGUACUUGUAUUGGCUAGUAGACAUUCAUUUGUUUCCAAUUGUUGAAGAUAUUGAUGUAAGCCCUAUAUGACAACUAUGGAUUUGUAUAAGGCCUUUGCCCGGAUUGUUUGACUUCGUUUAGAUGGUUGAUAUGAGACAAUAUUAGACUAAAUUCCUAUGCGUUUUUAAGUUGUCUAUUGCGAGAAGCCUACGUACGCUUCCUAUGUAGAGUUCUAUGUAAACCUCAUUGUUAUAUAAGUAAAAGUUUUUAAUUU
This is a long non-coding RNA of Solanum pennellii, 11482 nucleotides long. RefSeq lists it as uncharacterized. The transcript is spliced from 2 exons. NCBI's taxonomy places the organism in Eukaryota, Viridiplantae, Streptophyta, Magnoliopsida, Solanales, Solanaceae. The record is from RefSeq and is a predicted model, not a curated record.